RNAcentral lists this long non-coding RNA (139 nucleotides) under Papio anubis (olive baboon). RNAcentral's name for it is "lncRNA (ENSPANG00000040584.1)". Lineage: Eukaryota; Metazoa; Chordata; Mammalia; Primates; Cercopithecidae. The record is from RNAcentral.
CCUAGGAGUGAUCGUUUGACAUUUACUAAUUCAGUGAUUAUGGUGACUUUAUAGAACAUGGGCAGCACAAAUAACAAGAAUCAUCUGUAUACAAAUUAGUCUGGAGUGUGGCCAAGAGAGUAUAUGUGAUCCUGAUCUG